Molecule: long non-coding RNA, 472 nt
Organism: Zea mays
Lineage: Eukaryota; Viridiplantae; Streptophyta; Magnoliopsida; Poales; Poaceae
Exons: 3
Source: RefSeq, a predicted model, not a curated record
GUCCCCUACCCCGUCGCGAGGUCCGUCCUCAACGUCGAGUCCCCGACGCAUUUGGCACUGCCCCGCGUCGCGUUGGGUUGUCCCCUGCACAGCUGUAUCGGAUUCAGCCGCCCUCCAGGCCCAUCCACAUUCCGGAACAUCAGUGAUGAAGAACGUAGACCGACCACCUUCCAAUCCAAAACGCAUCAUAAUCCAGUCUACUCAGGAGUGCUUCAGCGUUGACAUACCCCGUGCUCCGGCGGGGACUGUUAGACCCGAGACAAGGCGUGCUGCUGAUGAGGAUGAUGACUUUAUGCCAUCAUCCAAGAAGCGUAACUUGGACGACAGCCCUGGUAAAGUUUUGAAGAAGGUAGUCACUAAGCGGCGGAAAGCAGUGCCCCCACCCCGACAGAAGCUGAACGUCAGAUGCAACCCCCAAGAUGUGUUAGUAAGCAUACAGAUAUUAAAUGACAGACAGCAACAAGCAAUUGCA